GUCCACGCUGUAAACGGUGCAUACUCGAUGUGGGCGGAGCUUUGAUCCCGUCCGUGUCUGAGCUAACGCGUUAAGUAUGCCGCCUGGGGACUACGGCCGCAAGGUUAAAACUCAAAGGAAUUGACGGGGGCCCCGCACAAGCGGUGGAGCAUGUGGCUUAAUUCGAGGCAACGCGAAGAACCUUACCUGGGUUUGACAUCCAUUGGACCGGAGAUGAAAGUUUCCUUUCCGCAAGGACCGAUGGACAGGUGCUGCAUGGCUGUCGU
This 266-nucleotide ribosomal RNA is filed under the name uncultured bacterium. Its description in RNAcentral is "partial 16S ribosomal RNA". It matches the Rfam family "Bacterial small subunit ribosomal RNA", at positions 793 to 1055 of the family's 1533-position model. The record is from RNAcentral.